AUGCAGCUGACGAGUCCCAAAUAGGUCGAAACAUGCGUCCUGGAU
This 45-nucleotide non-coding RNA is filed under the name Schistosoma curassoni. The record is from RNAcentral. Lineage: Eukaryota; Metazoa; Platyhelminthes; Trematoda; Strigeidida; Schistosomatidae.